GUUUCUGUAGUGUAGUGGUUAUCACGUUCGUCUUACACACGAAAGGACCCCAGCUCGAACCUGGGCAGAAACA
This is a non-coding RNA of Oryzias latipes (Japanese medaka), 73 nucleotides long. The record is from Rfam. Lineage: Eukaryota; Metazoa; Chordata; Actinopteri; Beloniformes; Adrianichthyidae.